AUUUCUGUCACAUUGCGAGCUAUGGAUCCAACCUAGGACUGCCUUCCUACCCUGUCUCUGGCCCUUCUUCCACCUUCAGUUUCACCUGCAGACUAACGGGUGCCAUUUGGUGACAAAAGUAUCUGGACAUCACAGCCAAGGUAGCAAGAGUUCUCUUGAGGAAGCCUGGGAUAAAGUGCAGUGACCACGUUGACUGAGAAAUUCGAAGAGUCAACAGCCCUGAAGGGAU
This 229-nucleotide long non-coding RNA is filed under the name Pogona vitticeps (central bearded dragon). RNAcentral's name for it is "lncRNA (ENSPVIG00000007876.1)". The record is from RNAcentral. Lineage: Eukaryota; Metazoa; Chordata; Lepidosauria; Squamata; Agamidae.